This is a long non-coding RNA of Corapipo altera (White-ruffed manakin), 594 nucleotides long. RefSeq lists it as uncharacterized. The transcript is spliced from 2 exons. Lineage: Eukaryota; Metazoa; Chordata; Aves; Passeriformes; Pipridae. The record is from RefSeq and is a predicted model, not a curated record.
CUCGGCCCGUUCCCCGGGCCGCUCCUCGCCGCCGCGGCCGAGGCAGGACCCGAGCCGCGAGCCCAGCCCGGCGGAGGCCGCGGCGUUGGCCCGGGCCAGGUCGCGGAGCUCGCGGGGCAGGCCCGGGGCCCGGCUGGCCCGGCAGCAGGUCGAGGACUCUAGGCGGGCCCUUGCCGGGCAAUGAAGCUCCUCGCCCUUCGCAGCUCAUUUGACGUCCUUCCCCGAGCAGAACAGGCGGGGUAUUUUUUACUCAGGGGUUCGUUUUGCUUUAUUUCAGCGCGAAAUGCCUUUGCUGAGCAUGAAGGAAGGCAAAGGAAAGAGAGCAGUGAAGUGGGGAAUUCAGCCACAACCUUUAUUUCUGGAAGGACUUGGUUGCCAUGGGGCCACUUGAAAAGCCACACACACAAAUGUGCCUGUGCUGAGGCGGGAUCAGGUCCUUGGAAACCAUCCGGAGAAUAACAGGCAGGAACACAGCUGGUGUGUGAGAGUGCACAGGGAACUUUCAUCACUUUCAGAUGCUGCUCUGUGUCUAUCUUUAAAAAUCAGUAAAUUUUCUGAUUAAAAAUAAAACCCUACACGUCAUGACUCCAGCAA